This 512-nucleotide long non-coding RNA is filed under the name Capsicum annuum. RNAcentral describes it as "long non-coding RNA (CANN_LNC019308)". The record is from RNAcentral. Lineage: Eukaryota; Viridiplantae; Streptophyta; Magnoliopsida; Solanales; Solanaceae.
AACUCAUUUGCUAACAGUUACUCUUUUCAAUUCUCAACCUAUUUUGUGAAAAUGUGCAGUAAGAACAGAAAAUAUUAUAUAUUUUUAGAAACAUUUAUUUAUAAUUAAAGAAUGACAUUCACCAAUUGAAUAACUCCUUAGGCAAAAUAGACAAGAGAACUUACAAGACUCGUAAUUAGGGGAAAAUACAAAAAUAGAACCAAGUGAAGAAUAUUCAUGAUCUUGUUGAGAAUAACAACUGUAAUAUUCAUUAAUUACAAGACUUAUCAAUCGAUUAAUUCGGAACUUACGGCCAAAACAACAGCUCCUAAUUCAAAGACUACCACUGUUUCCCAUGUUUGAACAUCAGAUGUGUUCCACAUUGCCUCUAAACCUACAUAAUCAAUCAUCCCAUUUACCAACAGAAUCGUCAGCCGAUAAGCCCCGGGUCGUCAGACAACCAGUGGUAAGAAAGAAAACAAUACCUCCGAUCUGUUGGUUGCCUCUGUCACUUUAUUUGCCAUUGGUUGUCG